RNAcentral lists this ribosomal RNA (253 nucleotides) under uncultured microorganism. Its description in RNAcentral is "partial 16S ribosomal RNA". It matches the Rfam family "Archaeal small subunit ribosomal RNA", at positions 330 to 584 of the family's 1478-position model. The record is from RNAcentral.
GCGCAGCAGUCGCGAAUCCUCCGCAAUACACGAAAGUGUGACGGGGCCAUCCCGAGUGCCGUCCGCUGAGGACGGCUUUUCCCCAGUGUACACAGCUGGGGGAAUAAGGAGAGGGCAAGCCUGGUGUCAGCCGCCGCGGGUAAUACCAGCUCUCCGAGUGGUGGGGACGCUUAUUGGGCCUAAAGCAUCCGUAGCCGGCUGGGCAAGUCCUCCGUUAAAUCCAACGAUUCAAUCGUUGGGCUGCGGGGGAUAC